UCGGGAAUUUUGCCCAAUGGACGAAAGUCUGAGGCAGCAACUCCGCGUGAGGGAUGACGGCCUUCGGGUUGUAAACCUCUUUUCCCAGGGAAGAUCCAAGACGGUACCUGGGGAAUAAGCCACGGCUAACUACGUGCCAGCAGCCGCGGUAAUACGUAGGUGGCGAGCGUUGUCCGGAUUUACUGGGCGUAAAGCGCGCGCAGGCGGCUGGCCAAGUCCGAUGUGAAAGCUUCCGGCUUAACUGGAAAACGGCAUCGGAUACUGGUCGGCUGGAAGGUGGGAGAGGGUAGCGGAAUUCCCGGUGUAGUGGUGAAAUGCGUAGAUAUCGGGAGGAACACCAGUGGCGAAAGCGGCUACCUGGCCCACUCUUGACGCUGAGGCGCGAAAGCUAGGGGAGCGAACGG
This 404-nucleotide ribosomal RNA is filed under the name uncultured bacterium. RNAcentral's name for it is "bacterial SSU rRNA". It matches the Rfam family "Bacterial small subunit ribosomal RNA", at positions 355 to 775 of the family's 1533-position model. The record is from RNAcentral.